Populus trichocarpa (black cottonwood) is the source of this 155-nucleotide non-coding RNA. The record is from Rfam. Lineage: Eukaryota; Viridiplantae; Streptophyta; Magnoliopsida; Malpighiales; Salicaceae.
UCUAGAACUCCAGAUAUGGGUUGAACACUGAACAGUGUCUGGGUUGUAGGACAGAUUCUGACUUCUCUAUUGUUGCUACAAUUUGAACUUGAAACGGUCCUUUUAAAUCUUGGACUCUUCAUGAAAGUUUUAGGCCUAUGUCUUAGCUUUCUAUC